RNAcentral lists this ribosomal RNA (492 nucleotides) under uncultured bacterium. RNAcentral describes it as "partial 16S ribosomal RNA". It matches the Rfam family "Bacterial small subunit ribosomal RNA", at positions 29 to 507 of the family's 1533-position model. The record is from RNAcentral.
AGUGAACGCUGGCGGUAGGCCUAACACAUGCAAGUCGAACGGCAGCACAGUAAGAGCUUGCUCUUACGGGUGGCGAGUGGCGGACGGGUGCGGAAUACAUCGGAAUCUACUUUUUCGUGGGGGAUAACGUAGGGAAACUUACGCUAAUACCGCAUACGACCUACGGGUGAAAGCAGGGGAUCUUCGGACCUUGCGCGAUUGAAUGAGCCGAUGUCGGAUUAGCUAGUUGGCGGGGUAAAGGCCCACCAAGGCGACGAUCCGUAGCUGGUCUGAGAGGAUGAUCAGCCACACUGGAACUGAGACACGGUCCCGACUCCUACGGGAGGCAGCAGUGGGGAAUAUUGGACAAUGGGCGCAAGCCUGAUCCAGCCAUACCGCGUGGGUGAAGAAGGUCUUCGGGUUGUAAAGCCCUUUUGUUGGGAAAGAAAAGCAGCAGGUUAAUACCCCGCUGUUCUGACGGUACCCAAAGAAUAAGCACCGGCUAACUUCGUG